UCGGAAGAUAGAGGUGCAUUUUUUAUCAGUAGGUCCAUUGAGGUAUAUGGGUACCGAUGAUAUGGGCUGAAAGGAAAAAAUGCCGAAGGAAAAUUUCACCCAUAUGGAGUUUUCCUGGUCCUUCAGUGAAUAACUGCUGGACUGUCAUCAAUUUUUCAAUUGAUGGAGCGCUAUCGGUAGU
This 181-nucleotide non-coding RNA is filed under the name Thermoclostridium stercorarium. Its description in RNAcentral is "Clostridium stercorarium Lysine sequence". It matches the Rfam family "Lysine riboswitch aptamer". From Rfam's summary of the family: Riboswitches are metabolite binding domains within certain messenger RNAs that serve as precision sensors for their corresponding targets. Allosteric rearrangement of mRNA structure is mediated by ligand binding, and this results in modulation of gene expression. The record is from RNAcentral. Lineage: Bacteria; Bacillati; Bacillota; Clostridia; Eubacteriales; Oscillospiraceae. RNAcentral also lists the same sequence under 1 other name.